AUUGAACGCUGGCGGCCGUCCUAACACAUGCAAGUCGAACGAGUGGCGGACGGGUUAGUAAUGUCUGGGAAACUGCCCGAUGGAGGGGGAUAACUACUGGAAACGGUAUCUAAUACCGCAUACCAUCGGAUGUUCCCCGAUGGGAUUCGCUUGUAGGUGUGGUAACGGGUCACCUAGGCGACGAUCCCUAGCUGUUCUCUGAGGUUGACCAGACACACUGGAACUGGGACACGGUCCAGACUCCGACGGGAGGCAGAAGUGGGGAAUAUUGCACAAUGGGCGCAAGCCUGAUGCAGCCAUGCAGCGUGUAUGAAGAAGGCCUUCGGGGUGUAAAGUACAUAAAGAGGGGAGGCGUAACCCGCAGAAGAAGCACCGGCUAACUCCGUGCCAGCAGCCGCGGUAAUUC
This 406-nucleotide ribosomal RNA is filed under the name uncultured bacterium. RNAcentral describes it as "partial 16S ribosomal RNA". It matches the Rfam family "Bacterial small subunit ribosomal RNA", at positions 30 to 526 of the family's 1533-position model. The record is from RNAcentral.